CACGUAGGGCGCGAGCGUUGUCCGGAAUUAUUGGGCGUAAAGAGCUCGUAGGCGGCCUGUUACGUCUGCUGUGAAAUCCCGGGGCUUAACCCCGGGCGUGCAGUGGAUACGGGCAGGCUGGAGGCAGGCAGGGGAGAACGGAAUUCCCGGUGUAGCGGUGAAAUGCGCAGAUAUCGGGAGGAACACCGGUGGCGAAGGCGGUUCUCUGGGCCUGUACUGACGCUGAGGAGCGAAAGCGUGGGGAGCGAACAGG
This 253-nucleotide ribosomal RNA is filed under the name uncultured bacterium. RNAcentral describes it as "partial 16S ribosomal RNA". It matches the Rfam family "Bacterial small subunit ribosomal RNA", at positions 524 to 776 of the family's 1533-position model. The record is from RNAcentral.